GAUUAAGUUAUUAAGGGCGCACGGUGGAUGCCUUGGCACUAGAAGCCGAUGAAGGACGUUACUAACGACGAUAUGCUUUGGGGAGCUGUAAGUAAGCUUUGAUCCAGAGAUUUCCGAAUGGGGAAGCCCAACAUGAGUUAUGUCAUGUUAUCGAUAUGUGAAUACAUAGCAUAUCAGAAGGCACACCCGGAGAACUGAAACAUCUUAGUACCCGGAGGAAGAGAAAGAAAAUUCGAUUCCCUUAGUAG
RNAcentral lists this ribosomal RNA (248 nucleotides) under Staphylococcus aureus. RNAcentral's name for it is "partial 23S ribosomal RNA". It matches the Rfam family "Bacterial large subunit ribosomal RNA", at positions 1 to 246 of the family's 2925-position model. Lineage: Bacteria; Bacillati; Bacillota; Bacilli; Caryophanales; Staphylococcaceae. The record is from RNAcentral.